AACGAACGCUGGCGGCAUGCCUAACACAUGCAAGUCGAACGAGACCUUCGGGUCUAGUGGCGCACGGGUGCGUAACGCGUGGGAAUCUGCCCAAAGGUUCGGAAUAACUCGGGGAAACCCGUGCAAAUACCGGAUGAUGUCUUCGGACCAAAGAUUUAUCGCCUUUGGAUGAGCCCGCGUCGGAUUAGCUAGUUGGCGAGGUAAAGGCUCACCAAGGCGACGAUCCGUAGCUGAUCUGAGAGGAUGAUCAGCCACACUGGGACUGAGACACGGCCCAGACUCCUACGGGAGGCAGCAGUGGGGAAUAUUGGACAAUGGGCGAAAGCCUGAUCCAGCAAUGCCGCGUGAGUGAUGAAGGCCUUAGGGUUGUAAAGCUCUUUUACCCGGGAUGAUAAUGACAGUACCGGGAGAAUAAGCCCCGGCUAACUCCGUGCCAGCAGCCGCGGUAAUACGGAGGGGGCUAGCGUUGUUCGGAAUUACUGGGCGUAAAGCGCACGUA
This 499-nucleotide ribosomal RNA is filed under the name uncultured bacterium. RNAcentral's name for it is "bacterial SSU rRNA". It matches the Rfam family "Bacterial small subunit ribosomal RNA", at positions 28 to 573 of the family's 1533-position model. The record is from RNAcentral.